AAGUCGUAACAAGGUUUCCGUAGGUGAACCUGCGGAAGGAUCAUUAAUGAAUAAACCUGGUUGGGUUGUUGCUGGUCUCUAGGGACAUGUGCACGCCUGCCACUUUUAUUAACCACCUGUGCACUCAAUGUAGACUGAUGACGAAACAUCGAGGAAACUCGGAUUGAGGACUGCUGCGUGCUUGAAAAGGGCCCAGCUUUCCUUGUGUCUUCAGUCUAUGUCUUUAUAUACACCCCUUAUGCAUGUAACAGAAUGUAUAGUUAGGCCUAUGUGCCUCUAAAUCUAAUACAACUUUCAACAACGGAUCUCUUGGCUCUC
RNAcentral lists this unclassified non-coding RNA (318 nucleotides) under fungal sp. RNAcentral's name for it is "partial internal transcribed spacer region". The stretch from base 1 to 46 matches the Rfam family "Eukaryotic small subunit ribosomal RNA", at positions 1786 to 1831 of the family's 1831-position model. Lineage: Eukaryota; Fungi. The record is from RNAcentral.